CGGAUUGUAGUCUGCAACCCGGCUACAUGAAGCUGGAAUCGCUAGUAAUCGCAGAUCAGAAUGCUGCGGUGAAUACGUUCCCGGGUCUUGUACACACCGCCCGUCACACCAUGGGAGUCGGAAAUGCCCGAAGUCGGUGACCCAACCGUUUACGGAGGGAGCUGCCGAAGGCAGGUCUGGUGACUGGGGUGAAGUCGUAACAAGGUAUC
This 209-nucleotide ribosomal RNA is filed under the name uncultured bacterium. Its description in RNAcentral is "partial 16S ribosomal RNA". It matches the Rfam family "Bacterial small subunit ribosomal RNA", at positions 1294 to 1500 of the family's 1533-position model. The record is from RNAcentral.